AGAACAUAUUCAGGUGACAUUGAUUUUUGGUGCUUUCGAAGUUGUUUUCUUUUAUGUUUCAAGCAGAGGUGCUUCUUUAAGGGCAUACAACAUGGGUGAAAUUUGUUAAAGCAUGAAAAUAAACUGAUGGGAUUUUUUUGGGGAAAGUUUGACCGGAGGGUUGUAGACAGUUUUUCUUUGUACAGGCCAUAAAUUAUUUAAUCUGUUUGUUUAAAGGGUGUAAUAACUGGUCAUGGUAACACAAUGAAAAUUUUUUGGGGAGC
This 263-nucleotide unclassified non-coding RNA is filed under the name Hevea brasiliensis (rubber tree). Lineage: Eukaryota; Viridiplantae; Streptophyta; Magnoliopsida; Malpighiales; Euphorbiaceae. The record is from RNAcentral.